GAGCAAAGGGCCAGGUGCUACACUACGCUAUCAUCUUCCCUUGCGACCAUAACUCUCUCUCACUACGUUCUGCCAGGACAAGACAGAGCCUGUGCAAUCAGUAAUACAUCCUGCCAUAAUGCCUUGGGCCAAGAGAAAAGGUCAAUACCAAUGUUUGUGGAGAAAACUACUUGAAUUUCUAAGGUCAGAUUAAUCAGAGUGGCUGUACAUAUUGGAAAAUACACAAAAAACCAAGAUGGCGUGAAAACAAGGAGUGGAUAUUGUUAGAAAACAAUUCUCCAUGAUUCUCCCACAUUUCUGCACAUCUAGCCAGCAGAAGCACCGGAAGAUCUCAUUCCAGACUAUCUUUUCAAAAAUAUCUGUAUAGCAAAGAGCCUUGCAAGACAGAGAUGAUGUCUCCUUCUGGAGCAGAGGGCAGAGUUGUUUACUGUCUGGUGUAAUACAGAUAAUGUCUCCCUAGGG
This is a non-coding RNA of Microcebus murinus (gray mouse lemur), 462 nucleotides long. Lineage: Eukaryota; Metazoa; Chordata; Mammalia; Primates; Cheirogaleidae. The record is from RefSeq and is a predicted model, not a curated record.